Molecule: small RNA, 556 nt
Filed under: Pan troglodytes (chimpanzee)
Lineage: Eukaryota; Metazoa; Chordata; Mammalia; Primates; Hominidae
Description: processed transcript
Source: RNAcentral
AAAAAUGUGUUUCUCUUAAUCAGGCCUACUUUCCCCACUCCCAAACAAUGAUACAUCUUCUCCAAGCGUUGGAUGUGGCCAAUCGGCUAGAAGUGAUUCCUAAAAUUUGGAAAGUAAAGAAUAUGGUCAUACUUUCCGCAGUGACCUGAGAGAAGAGAUCCUGAUGCUCAUGGCAAGGGACAAGCACCCACCAGAGCUUCAGGUGGCAUUUGCUGACUGUGCUGCUGAUAUCAAAUCUGCGUAUGAAAGCCAACUCAUCAGACAGACUGCUCAGGAUUGGCCAGCCACCUCUCUCAACUGUAUAGCUAUCCUCUUUUUAAGGGCUGGGAGAACUCAGGAAGCCUGGUGAGUACAGUACCACAAGUAUACACUUUAGAAGCUUUUGUAUUUGAAUCUAAAACAUUGGCCCACGCUGGUAGAGGUUCUUUCAUUUGGCCAUAUAACAAGUAUUUGAUUCGGGAACUUGCAAAUACCAACUAAAAAGCAAACUUUUGGAAGAAGACAGUAUGCAUGAUGUAGUUGAGAUAAGGCAUAGUUCUCUCAAACCAUAGGCUGA